CAUAGAGCUCAGCACCGUCCAUAUUAUCCAUGGCGGCGGAGGCGUCUUCUUUCUCGAGGAAAGUAACGAAGCCGAAGGAGCGGUGCUUCUGGGUGGCUUGAUCUAGAGGAGUUUUGACGUCCUUAAUGUCACCGAAGGGGAUAAAAGCGGCAUGGAGAAUGGAUUCGUUCACUUCCUCUGCCAAUCCUCCGACGUACAGUGUGUUCUUCUGCACUUGCUGUUGUUGCUGCUGCUGCGCCAUUCUCCUCCGUUUAGCUUUCCUUUCGGCUUUUUGGG
This 276-nucleotide unclassified non-coding RNA is filed under the name Hevea brasiliensis (rubber tree). Lineage: Eukaryota; Viridiplantae; Streptophyta; Magnoliopsida; Malpighiales; Euphorbiaceae. The record is from RNAcentral.